UACGUAGGGGGCGAGCGUUGUUCGGAAUUACUGGGCGUAAAGGGCGCGUAGGCGGCCUUCUAAGUCGGACGUGAAAUCCCUCGGCUUAACCGAGGAACUGCGUCCGAUACUGAAAGGCUUGAAUCCGGGAGAGGGAUGUGGAAUUCCAGGUGUAGCGGUGAAAUGCGUAGAUAUCGAGAGGAACACCUGCGGCGAAGGCGGGUAGCUGGGCCGACACUGACGCUGAGGCGCGAAAGCCAGGGGAGCGAACGGG
RNAcentral lists this ribosomal RNA (253 nucleotides) under uncultured bacterium. Its description in RNAcentral is "partial 16S ribosomal RNA". It matches the Rfam family "Bacterial small subunit ribosomal RNA", at positions 524 to 776 of the family's 1533-position model. The record is from RNAcentral.